CCUGCCAGGCCCGGCGGAAGUGAGCCGCCCCCGGGCGCUUGGAAACUUCCCGUGCGCAAAGGCCGGCAGGACACGGUCUCUUGACACCACAUUAGCUCAUGGGCAUUAACCAGCUCGUCUUGGAACAAAGCAGACGAUUGUUGAAACAACGGCGCUACCGUCUGUCCCGUUUGGAAGGGAGAGAUGAAGGUGACCCACCUCAGCUCUGCUUCCUUUUCUCGACCUAGAAAUGUUAAGCAUUAGCCUGUUUUUACCCGAUUUCUUUCUUGAUCCAUCCGUACACCCUGCACCACCUCACCAGUUACUCUUAAAUCCGGAGAAUGUCCCGUGUUGAGACCCCACACUUCAAAGCACAACUUAGCCCACCGAAAGGCAGGUGGGCCUCAACUUCCUCUUCUGCAAUCACCUAACAGGUCAGAUCUCUGUUCUGGAAUCUCAUGUGGGGAAGUGACUAUUCGCCCUUAAUUCCCUCCUACUCCCACACUGAAACAAUUUCUACAGGAAUUACGGGGAACAGACAGAAUAGGCUGCACAUAAGCCAAAAUUAAACCUUUUGGGGAGGGGGAAAUUCACCAAACAGAACCCGUUAUGUACCGACCGUGGGGAUAAGGAAGCACAAUCCCUUGAAGGAUCUACAAGCCAGGGCUGGCCAGGACAAGUGAGCAUUCCAGAGAAUUUCUGCAUGAUCAGCUGUUCAUCUUUUUAACAGAAUGGCAUUCUUCAAUUCAUCUGGAAAGGAUACUUCCUUUAAGUGUGCAAUUCAGAGUCUCUGAUGACAGGGUUAAUUGGGAGACAUAUAUGGAAAAAUGCUGUAUACCACGUUUGGUUUUAAGAUAGCUAAUAUUCUGAGCUUAAAGUUAUUUCACCGAUCAUCAGAUGUGUGCACAAGGUUAUCGGCAAGGAAGCCAACGCAGGUCUCUCAGAGGAGGUAGGAGUAGAGGCAGAGGCCAAAGAAACUGACAUCAAAUACCAGUUUCAUCACAAAUCAAUGAUGUAUCCUUGAUAGUAAACAUACCUAACUUCCAUUGUUAUAUGAAAAGGGGGGAUAAGUGUAAGAUCUUAAACUUCCAUUAUCUUAAACAGACAUCUUUGGUCUUACAUAAGAUUUACUGUGUAGAUUUUUUUCCCUCUGAAUUCACUGUAACCGUUAAAGUAAACUAUACUUUGUGGUCGGCUUAUAA
Molecule: long non-coding RNA, 1181 nt
Organism: Talpa occidentalis (Iberian mole)
Lineage: Eukaryota; Metazoa; Chordata; Mammalia; Eulipotyphla; Talpidae
Exons: 3
Source: RefSeq, a predicted model, not a curated record